UACGUAGGUGGCAAGCGUUGUUCGGAAUUACUGGGCGUAAAGGGCGCGUAGGCGGCCUGCUAAGUCGAACGUGAAAUCCCUGGGCUCAACCCAGGAACUGCGUCCGAUACUGGUUGGCUUGAAUUCGGGAGAGGGAUGUGGAAUUCCAGGUGUAGCGGUGAAAUGCGUAGAUAUCUGGAGGAACACCGGUGGCGAAGGCGGCAUCCUGGACCGAUAUUGACGCUGAUGCGCGAAAGCCAGGGGAGCAAACGGG
RNAcentral lists this ribosomal RNA (253 nucleotides) under uncultured bacterium. Its description in RNAcentral is "partial 16S ribosomal RNA". It matches the Rfam family "Bacterial small subunit ribosomal RNA", at positions 524 to 776 of the family's 1533-position model. The record is from RNAcentral.